GCGCUUGCUUCGGCAGCACACAUACUAAAAUUGGAACAAUACAAAGACUAGCAUGGCCCCUGUGCAAGGAUGGCAUGCAAACUCGUGGAACUUUCCAUAUUAAA
Small nuclear RNA from Eptesicus fuscus (big brown bat), 104 nucleotides. The record is from RefSeq and is a predicted model, not a curated record. NCBI's taxonomy places the organism in Eukaryota, Metazoa, Chordata, Mammalia, Chiroptera, Vespertilionidae.